This 261-nucleotide ribosomal RNA is filed under the name uncultured prokaryote. RNAcentral's name for it is "partial 16S ribosomal RNA". It matches the Rfam family "Bacterial small subunit ribosomal RNA", at positions 524 to 784 of the family's 1533-position model. The record is from RNAcentral.
UACGUAGGUGGCAAGCGUUGUCCGGAUUUAUUGGGCGUAAAGCGAGCGCAGGCGGUUCCUUAAGUCUGAUGUGAAAGCCCACGGCUCAACCGUGGAAGGUCAUUGGAAACUGGGGAACUUAAGUGCAGAAGAGGAGAGUGGAAUUCCAUGUGUAGCGGUGAAAUGCGUAGAUAUAUGGAGGAACACCAGUGGCGAAGGCGACUCUCUGGUCUGUAACUGACGCUGAGGCUCGAAAGCGUGGGGAGCAAACAGGAUUAGAUA